GAGGGCCCGAGCGUUAUCCGGAUUUAUUGGGGCGUAAAGAGUGCGUAGGCGGCUUGGUGUGUCAACGGUCAAAUCUAUCUGCUUAACAGAUAAACUGCCGUUGAAACUAUCAGGCUAGAGGCUGGAAGAGGCAAUCGGAAUUGCCGGUGUAGCGGUUAAAUGCGUUAAUAUCGGCAGGAACACCAAAUGCGUAGGCAGAUUGCUAGUACAGUCCUGACGCUGUUGCACGAAAGCGUGGGGAGCGAAGCGGAUUAGAUACCCGCGUAGUCCACGCCGUAAACGAUGGAUACUAGGCAUUGGGAGUAUCGACCCUCUCAGUGUCGUCCAAACAAGCUAACGCGUUAAGUAUCCCGCCUGGGGAGUACGGCCGCAAGGCUA
Molecule: ribosomal RNA, 378 nt
Filed under: uncultured organism
Description: partial 16S ribosomal RNA
Rfam family: Bacterial small subunit ribosomal RNA
Source: RNAcentral